RNAcentral lists this long non-coding RNA (526 nucleotides) under Helicoverpa zea (corn earworm). RNAcentral describes it as "uncharacterized LOC124632759, transcript variant X6". Lineage: Eukaryota; Metazoa; Arthropoda; Insecta; Lepidoptera; Noctuidae. The record is from RNAcentral.
CGCGAACCGAGCUUGCUGUUACGGUCUUACGGACUCAUUCAGCAACAUGAUUGUACAGUGGUAGUGCUUUAGAUGGUAUCAAAAAUUUAAUUUUCAGUAACGUUUAGUAACCUCUCACCUAAGGAUCAAUGAAUGCCGACUUUGAAGUGAACAGACAAUGUACGUCAUAUGGAUGAUUCAUGCUUCUCAUUGCUGAAAGUGUUAAGACAAGACCUGAGUCAGAACGUAACAUAGGAACUUACUUAAGGAGCGUAGCACACCAACGCUGGAGCCUGAAGGUUUCUUCUAUGAAAAAUUUGAGUAUUGGAACUAUUCAGCGUUAGACCUCUGAUUCACAAUUACGCUGGUAACCACAAAACCAAUGAGGCGAUGAACUUCUAUUUAUGAUUAAUGAGUCUUGUCUCGAACUCAUAUCAGCCAGUAUUGAUAGCAAUAAAAAAAAACUUAAAAUAAUAAAUGUAACAGGAAAAUACGCAUAAAUCAUGAAACAUGGUGGUAAUACAGUGAUACAUAUCGAUAAACUUAA